Molecule: long non-coding RNA, 595 nt
Organism: Aedes aegypti (yellow fever mosquito)
Lineage: Eukaryota; Metazoa; Arthropoda; Insecta; Diptera; Culicidae
Gene: Gr74
Exons: 3
Source: RefSeq, marked validated
UACCAAUGGCUUUUAGGGCGAGAUCUCAUGUUAUGCGAGAAUUUAAAUAAAAUCACGCCUUCAUUUCGCUAUCAUAUGCUUCCACCGAUACAAGAUAUGGCAGAGUUACUAAAACUAAUAUUGAAGACUGACCUCGAGCUCGGCUUGUUCAAAGACAAGUUUCAUAACAUGACUAAUAUUAUUAUCUUAUAAAUUUUAUUUACAGGAACAAGAACUCGCUAGAAAGCUGAGCGAUUUGAGGGAGAAUUUUGCCCAAAACAACAAAGAAUCGCCUUCGACAACUAUGACAAAGAUCAGUGUCCUCUAUCGGCCACCCGCCAUCAGUGCCUACGGAUUAUUCGAAAUCAAUUUGAACUUUUUCUAUCAGAUGAUAGCAGCUAUUUUCACUCAAUGUGUAAUACUUUUCCAGUUUCAAAGUUUCGAACAACAGUAGCUUACCAUCAGUGGAUGGCCCUCUGAUGUACAAUUUUUACAUAGCAUCGAAUAUAAAUGUGCUUUCCAUAUGCAUUCGGAUAUUUAAGGAAACCUCAGAAGAAUCAUUCUACCUCGCAAAACAAAUCGUAUUAAUUCUACAAUAAAGCACAGAUUUUCAACG